Molecule: ribosomal RNA, 229 nt
Filed under: uncultured bacterium
Lineage: Bacteria
Description: partial 16S ribosomal RNA
Rfam family: Bacterial small subunit ribosomal RNA
Source: RNAcentral
UGCGUAGGCGGAAUAUUAAGUCAGUGGUGAAAUCCUGCGGCUCAACCGUAGAACUGCCAUUGAUACUGAUAUUCUUGAAUGUAGUUGAGGUAGGCGGAAUGCGUAAUGUAGCGGUGAAAUGCUUAGAUAUUACACAGAACACCGAUUGCGAAGGCAGCUUACUAAACUAUGAUUGACGCUGAUGCACGAAAGCGUGGGGAGCGAACAGGAUUAGAUACCCUGGUAGUCC